This 81-nucleotide transfer RNA is filed under the name Candidatus Sungiibacteriota bacterium. RNAcentral describes it as "tRNA-Val". Lineage: Bacteria; Candidatus Sungiibacteriota. The record is from RNAcentral.
GGAGUCCGAGGGGCCACUUUUGGUGAGGUGUUCCGUGGUUAACACUCGGAAUGAGGGGUUCGAUUCCCCUUGGCUCCACCA